RNAcentral lists this ribosomal RNA (496 nucleotides) under uncultured bacterium. RNAcentral describes it as "partial 16S ribosomal RNA". It matches the Rfam family "Bacterial small subunit ribosomal RNA", at positions 28 to 506 of the family's 1533-position model. The record is from RNAcentral.
GAUGAACGCUGGCGGCGUGCCUAAUACAUGCAAGUCGAGCGAACAGAUGAGGAGCUUGCUCCUCUGACGUUAGCGGCGGACGGGUGAGUAACACGUGGAUAACCUACCUAUAAGACUGGGAUAACUUCGGGAAACCGGAGCUAAUACCGGAUAAUAUAUUGAACCGCAUGGUUCAAUAGUGAAAGACGGUUUUGCUGUCACUUAUAGAUGGAUCCGCGGCGCAUUAGCUAGUUGGUAAGGUAACGGCUUACCAAGUCGACGAUGCGUAGCCGACCUGAGAGGGUGAUCGGCAACACUGGAGCUGAGACGCGGUCCAGACUCCUACGGGAGGCAGCAGCAGGGAAUCUUCCGCAAUGGGCGAAAGCCUGACGGAGCAACGCCGCGUGAGUGAUGAAGGUCUUCGGAUCGUAAAACUCUGUUAUUAGGGAAGAACAAAGGUGUAAGUAACGAUGCACGUCUUGACGGAACCUAAGCAGAAGGCCACGGCUAACUACGU